UGUGCUAUACCUUGUUUGUUCCGGACGAGAUGCGCCGUACCCGGUUAAGACAAGACGACGCUUU
RNAcentral lists this non-coding RNA (64 nucleotides) under Legionella drancourtii. RNAcentral also lists the same sequence under 1 other name. Lineage: Bacteria; Pseudomonadati; Pseudomonadota; Gammaproteobacteria; Legionellales; Legionellaceae. The record is from RNAcentral.